GUUUUAUAUCUUUAUGUUUGAAGCCUGAAAUGUGGCAAAAGGUCGCAAAGUUCAAGGGGGCCGAAUACUUUCGCAAGGCACUGUAUAUACUGUACUCUAUAUCAUCUACUGCAUCUUUAUGUAAUACAUGUAUCACUAGCCACUUUAACUAUGCCACUUUGUUUACAUACUCAUCUCAUAUGUAUAUACUGCACUCAAUACCAUCUACUGUAUCUUGCCUAUGCCGCUCUGUACCAUCACUCACUCAUAUAUAUUUAUGUACAUAUUCUUUAUCCCCUUACACUUGUGUCUAUAAGGUAGUAGUUUUGGAAUUGUUAGCUAGAUUACUUGUUGGUUAUUACUGCAUUGUCGGAACUAGAAGCACAAGCAUUUCGCUACACUCGCAUUAACAUCUGCUAACCAUGUGUAUGUGACAAAUAAAAUUAGAUUUGAUUUGAUUUGGUAGUGUCCAUACAAACCUUGAUGUGCUUAAAAUAUUCCUCAUUGCAGGCUAAUGAGACCUGGGUGAGCAACUGCCAGGAGUGUGUGUGUGACCCAUACAGUCUGGAAAUCCAGUGCCAGCCGGUGGCAUGCCAACAUCAGCCUCCUCUCACCUGUGAUCAGGAGGGCCAAGUUAAGGUCGUAGAAACCGUUGACUGUUGUCAAAAGGACAAAUGCGGUGAGUGACUUCUUUGGAUAAUAUGCUCUUUAUGGGGGCUUUGGAACAACUCUGUAAAAACAUUUAUAUUUUUGGUGACUACCUAACAUACCCAACCAAUGUGGCCACUUGCAUAUUUUUUAAAACAAUAGUUGUUUCUUUCCAAACAGAGUGUGAUGUCACACGAUGCGAAUCCAGUCGGAUUCGAGACAGAGGCAACUAUGGGAGUCUGCUGCCCAACGUAUCAAUGCACCUGGUGCCAAUGUUCCUGGGGACAAGUGUAAGAAUUGUGUGUGUGGUGACAGUGUGGAUGCCCAAAGCCAUCUACAUAUCAUUGAGUGUCAAACUACUGAAUGUGACACUCACUGCCAGCAGGUAUGUGAUCUCUAUUGACACAUCUACACACUUUAGCCUCAUAUGUAAUUUAACCAACUUAGUCUAAUAUUUGAUGAGUUCUUA
RNAcentral lists this long non-coding RNA (1096 nucleotides) under Oncorhynchus kisutch (coho salmon). RNAcentral describes it as "lncRNA (ENSOKIG00005026894.1)". The record is from RNAcentral. Lineage: Eukaryota; Metazoa; Chordata; Actinopteri; Salmoniformes; Salmonidae.